UACGUAGGGGGCGAGCGUUGAUCGGAAUUACUGGGCGUAAAGUGUGCGUAGGUGGCCGCGCAAGUCGGGUGUGAAAUCCCCGAGCUUAACUUGGGAAUUGCGCUCGAAACUACGUGGCUCGAGUGUGGCAGAGGAAGGUGGAAUUCCACGUGUAGCGGUGAAAUGCGUAGAGAUGUGGAGGAACACCAAUGGCGAAAGCAGCUCUCUGGGACGGUACUGACGCUGAGACGCGAAAGCGUGGGGAGCAAACAGG
This 253-nucleotide ribosomal RNA is filed under the name uncultured bacterium. RNAcentral describes it as "partial 16S ribosomal RNA". It matches the Rfam family "Bacterial small subunit ribosomal RNA", at positions 524 to 776 of the family's 1533-position model. The record is from RNAcentral.